The sequence is a ribosomal RNA, 2883 nucleotides long. It matches the Rfam family "Bacterial large subunit ribosomal RNA". The record is from Rfam.
GGUCAAGAGAGGUAAGGGCGCAUGGUGGAUGCCCAGGCACCUGGAGCCGAUGAAGGACGCGGCAAGCGGCGAAACGCCCCGGGGAGCCGCAAGCGGGCAGAGAUCCGGGGAUUUCCGAAUGGGGGAACCCGCUUGAGGUAAUACUCAAGCAUCCGCUGAUGAAUCCAUAGUCAGCGGAGGGGAACCGGGCGAACUGAAACAUCUAAGUAGCCCGAGGAAAAGAAAGCAAAAGCGAUUCCCUAAGUAGUGGCGAGCGAAAGGGGAAGAGCCCAAACCUACCGCUUAGGCGGUAGGGGUUCGGGCCCACCGCAAAAGUGUGCGAGUACUCUAGGCGAACGGACCUGGAAAGGCCGGCCAUAGAGGGUGAAAGCCCCGUAGCCGAAAGGGGAAAGCGCACUGGUGGGUACCAGAGUACCACGGGAUAGGCGACCCUGUGGGAAGGAGGGAGGACCACCUCCUAAGGCUAAAUACUCCAGGUGACCGAUAGCGCAUAGUACCGUGAGGGAAAGGUGAAAAGAACCCCGGGAGGGGAGUGAAAUAGAACCUGAAACCAUGUGCCCACAAGCAGUCAGAGCCUGGGUAAUACCAGGUGAUGGCGUACUUUUUGCAGUACGGGCCGGCGAGUUAUGGUAGCGAGCGAGGUUAAGGGUAGAGAUACCCGGAGCCGAAGCGAAAGCGAGUCCGAAGAGGGCGGAAAGUUCGCUGCCAUAGACCCGAAACCGUGCGACCUACCCAUGGCCAGGGUGAAGCCGGAAUAAAAUCUGGUGGAGGCCCGAACCCGUUGGCCGUGAAAAGCCAUGGGAUGAGCUGUGGGUAGCGGUGAAAUGCCAAUCGAGCACGGAGAUAGCUGGUUCUCCCCGAAAUAGCUUUAGGGCUAGCCUCAGGGUAAAGCCUGUGGAGGUAGAGCCACUGACUGGGCUAGGGGCCGAGAGGCUACCGAACCCUAUCAAACUCCGAAUGCCACAGGCAAGUACCUGGGAGUCAGACCACGAGUGAUAAGAUCCGUGGUCGAGAGGGGAACAGCCCAGACCCCCAGCUAAGGUCCCGAAGGGCAUGUUAAGUGGGAAAGGAAGUGGGACUUCGAAGACAACCGGGAUGUUGGCUUAGAAGCAGCCAUACAUUUAAAGAGUGCGUAACAGCUCACCGGUCGAGAGGUCCUGCGCCGAAAAUGAACGGGGCUCAAACAUGCCACCGAAGCUGGGGCUGCGCGUAAGCGCGGGGUAGGGGAGCGUACUGCGCGGGCAGAAGGCUGAGCGUAAGCGAGGCUGGACUGCGCAGUAGUGAGAAUGCCGGCAUGAGUAGCGAGAGCAAGGUGAGAAACCUUGCCGCCGGAAGCCUAAGGUUUCCUGGGGAAGGGUAAUCCGCCCAGGGUAAGUCGGGGCCUAAGCCGAGGCCGGAAGGCGUAGGCGAUGGGAAACCGGUUGAUAUUCCGGUACCACCGAGGGCCGCUUGAGGGAAGCGGGGACGCAGCGAGGUAGGCGGAGCGCGCGGUUGGUAGAGCGCGUCCAACCAGACACCGGAGGGCACGUAGGCAAAUCCGCGUGCCGGCAGGGGGCUGGGAAGGGGAGCCGGAAGGCGAAGCCGCUAAGAACGCUGCCAAGAAAAGCCGCUACCGAGGCCUGAGGUGCCCGUACCGCAAACCGACACAGGUAGGCGAGGAGAGAAUCCACAGGCGAGCGGGAGAACCCUCCUUAAGGAACUCGGCAAAAUGACUCCGUAACUUCGGGAGAAGGAGUGCCGAAAGGCCGCAGAGAAGAGGCCCAAGCGACUGUUUACCAAAAACACAGGUCUCUGCUAAGCCGAAAGGCGAAGUAUAGGGGCUGACGCCUGCCCGGUGCUGGAAGGUUAAGGGGAAGGGUGAAAGCCCUGAACCGAAGCCCCAGUGAACGGCGGCCGUAACUAUAACGGUCCUAAGGUAGCGAAAUUCCUUGUCGGGUAAGUUCCGACCUGCACGAAAGGCGUAACGACUUGGGCGCUGUCUCGAGGAGGGGCCCGGCGAAGUUGUAGUGCUCGUGAAGAUGCGAGCUACCCGCGAUUGGACGGAAAGACCCCGUGGAGCUUUACUGUAGCCUGUCACUGGGUCCUGGUAGUUCCUGUACAGGAUAGGUGGGAGACUGGGAAGGUGGCGCGCCAGCGUCACUGGAGUCGGCGUUGGGAUACCACCCUGGGACUAGUGGGGUUCUAACCUUAAGCCGUGAACCGGCGAAGGGACAAUGGCAGGUGGGCAGUUUGACUGGGGCGGUCGCCUCCUAAAAGGUAACGGAGGCGCCCAAAGGUCCCCUCAGCGCGGACGGGAAUCGCGCGAAGAGUGCAAAGGCAGAAGGGGGCUUGACUGUGAGAGAGACAUCUCGAGCAGGGACGAAAGUCGGGCUUAGUGAUCCGGCGGCAGUGAGUGGGAACGCCGUCGCUCAACGGAUAAAAGCUACCCCGGGGAUAACAGGCUGAUCUCCCCCAAGAGUCCACAUCGACGGGGAGGUUUGGCACCUCGAUGUCGGCUCAUCGCAUCCUGGGGCUGAAGUAGGUCCCAAGGGUUGGGCUGUUCGCCCAUUAAAGCGGUACGUGAGCUGGGUUCAGAACGUCGUGAGACAGUUCGGUCCCUAUCCGUCGCGGGCGUAGGAGACUUGAGGGGAGCCAUCCCUAGUACGAGAGGACCGGGAUGGACGAGCCGAUGGUGUACCAGUUGCACCGCCAGGUGCACAGCUGGGUAGCCAAGCUUGGAAGGGAUAAAGGCUGAAAGCAUCUAAGCGUGAAGCCCACCCCAAGAUAAGGUCUCCCACCCGAAAGGGGUAAGGCACCUUGUAGAAGACGAGGUAGAUAGGCCGGGGGUGUAAGAGCGGAAACGCUUUUAGCUGACCGGUACUAAUAAGCCGAGGACUUGACCCU